This is a non-coding RNA of Plectropomus leopardus (leopard coralgrouper), 711 nucleotides long. Lineage: Eukaryota; Metazoa; Chordata; Actinopteri; Perciformes; Serranidae. The record is from RefSeq and is a predicted model, not a curated record.
GAGUGAGCGGUGGAAGCCUCCUCUCCCUCUCUGAUGCAGUCAGCCAGGCAGCCAGGACGGCGGGAGUGAAGCCCAUCACCUCUGCUGAGCGGUUACAAGACGAUCUGGAGACCCAGGAGCUGAAGGAAGCAUAUGCAGAACAAGUUAAAGCUGACAUCAAGAAACGAGUGCGCGAAGACCCAGAUUUCAACCCUCAGCAGACCCCAAACGCUCACAGAGCCUUCUCAUCAGACUCAUAAUCACGUUCAAUGAUACAAAAAACCAUGCAAGACUCUUGCCGUUUUCAUUUGAAUUAUUUUUGGAUCUUCAUUCGACUACCAGUCAAUGCAGCUUCACUCCCGCAGUUAGCAGCUCUCUUAACUAAUUGCCUCAUGCUAAUGUGACUACUUCUCCCAGUGCCUAUUUAUUUUGUUGUGUUUAUUGUGGUCCAACUUCUGGCUGAGAGAACGCUCCUUUAUAACAGGCAACAGAUUUAAGUUUGACUAAAUCAGGUCACUUUACUUUUGUUUGCAUACAUGUGUAUGUUUGUUUGUUUUUGCCCUCAUAUCCUCGUGUUGCUUUGUUAAUAUGAAGCCUGGAUUCUCAUUAUUUAGUGGACUAUAACCUUCCUGUCAAUAUUCUUAACCUUAAGAGUAUAUUUCAUGUGAGAAACAUUCUGAUUGGUACAUGAAUGUACAGUAAGCUUAAUAAAACUCUUGAUACAAUACAAAA